GGCUGGUUAGAUACUGAUCAGAAGAUCAGUUGGGGUCUGCCCACUCUACUCUCUCCCAGAGCCAUCUUGGCUGGCCAUGUGCUCUACAGGGCGCCACUUCCGG
This is a long non-coding RNA of Dipodomys spectabilis (banner-tailed kangaroo rat), 103 nucleotides long. RefSeq lists it as uncharacterized. Lineage: Eukaryota; Metazoa; Chordata; Mammalia; Rodentia; Heteromyidae. The record is from RefSeq and is a predicted model, not a curated record. The transcript has 3 exons.